Molecule: ribosomal RNA, 301 nt
Filed under: uncultured bacterium
Lineage: Bacteria
Description: partial 16S ribosomal RNA
Rfam family: Bacterial small subunit ribosomal RNA
Source: RNAcentral
CAGCAGCCGCGGGAAUACGUAGGUGGCAAGCGUUGUUCGGAAUUACUGGGCGUAAAGCGCGCGUAGGCGGUUACUCAAGUCAGAGGUGAAAGCCCGGGGCUCAACCCCGGAACUGCCUUUGAAACUAGGUAACUAGAAUCUUGGAGAGGUCAGUGGAAUUCCGAGUGUAGAGGUGAAAUUCGUAGAUAUUCGGAAGAACACCAGUGGCGAAGGCGACUGACUGGACAAGUAUUGACGCUGAGGUGCGAAAGCGUGGGGAGCAAACAGGAUUAGAUACCCCUGUAGUCCCUGUCUCUUAUAC